RNAcentral lists this ribosomal RNA (391 nucleotides) under uncultured bacterium. RNAcentral's name for it is "bacterial SSU rRNA". It matches the Rfam family "Bacterial small subunit ribosomal RNA", at positions 28 to 420 of the family's 1533-position model. The record is from RNAcentral.
GACGAACGCUGGCGGCGUGCUUAACACAUGCAAGUCGAGCGGUAAGGCCCUUUCGGGGGUACACGAGCGGCGAACGGGUGAGUAACACGUGGGUGACCUGCCCUCAGCUCUGGGAUAAGCUUGGGAAACCGGGUCUAAUACUGGAUAUGACUCCAUGACGCAUGUUGUGGGGUGGAAAGCCUUGUGCGGCUGAGGAUGGGCCCGCGGCCUAUCAGCUUGUUGGUGGGGUGANGGCCUACCAAGGCGACGACGGGUAGCCGGCCUGAGAGGGCGACCGGCCACACUGGGACUGAGACACGGCCCAGACUCCUACGGGAGGCAGCAGUGGGGAAUCUUGCGCAAUGGGCGAAAGCCUGACGCAGCGACGCCGCGUGAGGGAUGACGGCCUCGG